UACGGGGGGGGCAAGCGUUGUUCGGAAUUACUGGGCGUAAAGGGCGCGUAGGCGCCUUCUAAGUCAGACGUGAAAUCCCUCGGCUCAACCGAGGAACUGCGUCUGAUACUGGAAGGCUUGAAUCCGGGAGAGGGAUGUGGAAUUCCAGGUGUAGCGGUGAAAUGCGUAGAUAUCUGGAGGAACACCGGUGGCGAAGGCGGCAUCCUGGACCGGUAUUGACGCUGAGGCGCGAAAGCUAGGGGAGCAAACGGGG
This 253-nucleotide ribosomal RNA is filed under the name uncultured bacterium. RNAcentral describes it as "partial 16S ribosomal RNA". It matches the Rfam family "Bacterial small subunit ribosomal RNA", at positions 524 to 777 of the family's 1533-position model. The record is from RNAcentral.